UGCAUAUGUACUCGUAUAUGUAUGCAUUUAAAGAAAAACCUAAAAAAACAUAGAAGAUUAAAAUAGCCCCUGCGCAAGGAUGACACUGAAGAAAAAUCAAAAAUCAUUUUUU
Small nuclear RNA from Bombyx mandarina (wild silkworm), 112 nucleotides. NCBI's taxonomy places the organism in Eukaryota, Metazoa, Arthropoda, Insecta, Lepidoptera, Bombycidae. The record is from RefSeq and is a predicted model, not a curated record.